GUUUUAUGGCAAAAAUGUGUUCAGCCUUUCCUACCCAUUUCAAUGUAUUUUCUCAUUUGCCUGAUAUAUGGGAGUAACUCAUCUAGUUUCUAAAUCUUUUCCACAGGCAGUUGCUCCUUGUAUAGCUGUAUAUUUGGUAUAUUUAUAGGAGGAGCAAAGCUCAGGAGCCUCCUAUGUUACCAUCUUGAUUGAUUCUCUGUUUUGAUUCUGUUCUCCUGAAGUACUGAAGUCACCAUGGUUGGAAACAGGAAGAAUGGUGACAGUGAAGUCGGUAUACAUCAGAGGAACACAGACCCUGGCAUCCUUUUCUGCCUCAUGAGCACUCAGAUAUCACAGGUCAAGAUCACUAUGCCCUUGGUGCUCAGUGGGAAAAUGGUGCAAGCUAGAAGGUCUCCACUGACAAGAUCUGAAUGUUUUGACAGAUAUGAAUUUAUUUUGUCGAGAUUAUUUGCUCUGAAGCCUCUGAUUUCUAAUGAUUGAGGUUGGAGGCUGAAUUCUGGUUGCAAGAGGAAGAGGAAGAGAAAGAUUUUUUAGAAUUUACCAAAUGCUAAAAAUAAGGAGAAAUUCAAUUUAUGAACUGGGGGUAGAAAAGACAGACUGGUUUUUUCCUUAGGUAUUAUGUGUAGAAGUGACAAAACAGAAAGAAAUAAGAAAUAAUUACAGAAUAAUAUAAUUUGUUCUUAGCGGGGAAAACUGAGUAAUUCACUGAGAAAUUGUAUUUGCUUCCAUUAAACCCACUUACCUUCCAGUCACAAUUGCUAAGCUUAGAUUCUCAAAAGGUAUGGAUGGAACUGGAGGGUAUUAUGCUGAAUGAAGUAAGUCAAUCAGAGAAGGACAAACAUUAUAUGGUUUCACUCAUACGGGGAAUAUAAAAAAUAGGGAAAGGGAUUAAAAGCUAAAAGAGAGAAAAUGAGUGGGAAAUAUCAGUGAGGGUGACAAAUCAUGAGAGACUCCUAACUCUGAGAAAUGAACAAUGGGUAGUGGAAGCUGAGGUGGGCAGGGGAUUGGGGUGACUGAGUGACGGGCACGGAAGGGGUCAGUUAAUGGGAUGAGCACUGGGUGUUUUACUGUAUGUUGGCAAAUUGAACUCCAAUAAAAGAAAUGUACAAAAAAUAGCAGAAGAAAUCAAUAAGACACAUUUACCUUUUUUAUCCACAGAAUAAAGGAUGUUUAUAAAAAAAAAAAAGAAAGAAAGAAAGAAAGAAAGAAAGAAAGAAAGAAAGAAAGAAAAGAAAGGAAGGAAGGAAGAAAAAGAAAAGAAAGAAAGAAAGAAAGAAAGAAAGAAAGAAAGAAAGAAAGAAAGAAAGAAAGAAAAAACAUCACUGGUCAAAGACACUCCAUUUAUUUUUUUUCUUCCUUUCUUUCAUUUCUUUUUUUU
This 1378-nucleotide long non-coding RNA is filed under the name Canis lupus familiaris (dog). Its description in RNAcentral is "lncRNA (ENSCAFG00845026897.1)". Lineage: Eukaryota; Metazoa; Chordata; Mammalia; Carnivora; Canidae. The record is from RNAcentral.